GACGAACGCUGGCGGCGUGCUUAACACAUGCAAGUCGAACGAUGAAGCCUAGCUUGCUAGGUGGAUUAGUGGCGAACGGGUGAGUAAUACGUGAGUGACCUACCUUUGACUCUGGGAUAAGCCUGGGAAACUGGGUCUAAUACCGGAUACGACCAAUCUCCGCAUGGGGUGUUGGUGGAAAGCGUUAUGGAGUGGUUUUAGAUGGGCUUACGGCCUAUCAGCUUGUUGGUGAGGUAAUGGCUUACCAAGGCGACGACGGGUAGCCGGCCUGAGAGGGUGACCGGCCACACUGGGACUGAGACACGGCCCAGACUCCUACGGGAGGCAGCAGUGGGGAAUAUUGCACAAUGGGCGCAAGCCUGAUGCAGCGACGCCGCGUGAGGGAUGACGGCCUUCGGGUUGUAAACCUCUGUUAGCAUCGAAGAAGCGAAAGUGACGGUAGGUGCAGAGAAAGCGCCGGCUAACUACGUG
This 471-nucleotide ribosomal RNA is filed under the name uncultured bacterium. RNAcentral describes it as "partial 16S ribosomal RNA". It matches the Rfam family "Bacterial small subunit ribosomal RNA", at positions 28 to 507 of the family's 1533-position model. The record is from RNAcentral.